Long non-coding RNA from Lycium ferocissimum, 414 nucleotides. RefSeq lists it as uncharacterized. NCBI's taxonomy places the organism in Eukaryota, Viridiplantae, Streptophyta, Magnoliopsida, Solanales, Solanaceae. The record is from RefSeq and is a predicted model, not a curated record. The transcript is spliced from 2 exons.
UUUUGUAAGAAUUUCUUUUAAUCAAACACUAGUCGAUAGUCAUCAUGAUGAAGGGUGUUGCAACAAAGAAUUUUCAUCUUUUGAGGACUAUCUUUUUGCUAUACUCCAUUUUAAUAGUGACAGAAGCAGCAGGAAUUGGAAGAAGAGAAUUAAUUGGAACAAAACAAGCUUAUGCAAGUGAAACAAAGCCUUUUGAAAUGGAGAAAAAUACAAACUCUCAAGUUGAUGAUUCUAUAGUGAUUGACUAUACACCAGUUCAUACAUCGCCGGAAAGUUCACCACAUGGUCUACUACCAUCUACGUAGUGAUGUACGCACAAAUUUUAAUAAGCAAUGUCGAUAUUUAAUAAGAUUCUCAACGCGCUUGUUGUAAGAGAGGAAAUGAGAUCUCUUGCUCUCUUACAAUUUGAAUAGA